Molecule: long non-coding RNA, 845 nt
Organism: Mus musculus (house mouse)
Lineage: Eukaryota; Metazoa; Chordata; Mammalia; Rodentia; Muridae
Product: predicted gene, 40874
Exons: 4
Source: RefSeq, a predicted model, not a curated record
CUGCCUGCCUGCCUGCCAGUCUAUCUAUCUAUUUCUCAUUUGUUAUUUUUGGAGAUUGGGCCUUGCAUUAUAAUCCUGGGUGAACUAGAUUUAAAUAUAUAGACUCAACAAGCCCUCAAAAUCACAGAGAUCUGCCUGCUGCUGUCUUGGGAGUGCUUGGAUUAAAGCAGAGGUUGACAUCUGAGAGCAUGUCUCUGUGAAUGCUUAUGCAGACAGCCACAUAAACACGUGUCUAAAUCAAGAUACUGAACAUCCAUCCCCAGAAGGUUCUCUGCCUCUCGCAAGUGCUUAUCCAAGAGGAGCAAUGUCUGUAGACUGCUUUGGACAGCAGCACCAUCAGGGACCCCAGAAGGCCAAGAAGAAGUAUGGAUCCCAGAGUGACGAUGAACGGCACAUACCAUGCAGAUGUGGAGUACACGUUUUCCCUGCGGAUCUGGUAUCUUUGACUAUCCUGAAACUUCCUCUGAAGCCCAGGCAGGUUCAAACUCACAGAGAUCCACCCACCUCUGCUUCCUGAGGGCUAAGGUUAAAGGCGUGUGCCACCACCACAGCUCACAUUUUUCUUUCCUGUGAGAAGUCAGUGGCUCUGAGUCCGAGCUCUUACACAGAUUCCCAUCAGCUAAUCCAUGGCCCUUCCAAACACAUGCCUCAACGUUUUGUUUGUUUGUCUUGUUUUGUUUUUCUGUCUGCCUCACGCUUCUGGGUCAAAGGGUUCCACUGCUAUACAUCCUAAGGACUUUUGGCUGCAGAUUCCAGGUCCCAGAUCCUUACCCUGGGAGUUGUGAUGGUUGUGGUUGGGUGAGGAAUGACUUUAACACUCAGAGUCACUGUCCCUGUUUCAACAA